UUGGCAAGGAUCAUUUAAGAUAUAUGCACGUAAAAGAAUGAAGGCAAUUGUAAGAUUUAGAAAUCACUGGAUUUUGCCGCGCACGUGAACGCAACGCGAGAGCUCCAGCGGCGAGCGCGGCUGCGAGGAGUGGAUGAAGGAGGAGGAGGAAGAAGGAGGCAGGAGCAUGAUGCGUUACGCCGCUUAUUAGACUCAAAGACGGCUUUCCUGCUUGCCUUGAAAGGGAGGCAGGAUGGAGGAGAACCAGCACUUCAUUUGCGGGGUGGUGGAAGGUUUCUAUGGAAGGCCAUGGUCUAUGGACCAGAGGAGAAUUCUAUUCCAAUGGAUGCAGAAGUGGGGGUUGAACACUUACCUGUACGGUCCAAAAGAUGACCUGAAGCACAGACUGUUGUGGAGAGAAGUCUACUCACCUGAAGAGGAAGGUCAACUGCGCACUCUCAUCGAGGAGGCCCAGUCAAGAGGCCUGAGGUUCGUUUACGCACUUUCUCCCGGUCAGGACAUUGUCUUCUCGUCCCCCUGCGAUCUGACUCUCCUGAAACGCAAGCUAAGACAAGUAUCAGACCUCGGUUGCCGGGCGUUCGCCAUCCUGUUCGACGAUAUCGAUCACUCCUUGUGUCAGGCUGACAGCGAGGCCUUCUCUUCGUUCGCACACGCUCAGGUCACCGUCACUAAUGAGAUUUAUCGCUUCUUGGGGGAACCGUCCGUCUUCCUGUUCUGUCCCACAGAGUACUGCGGCUCUCUGUGUUCCCCGAGCGUGCAGAAGUCUCCUUACCUGCAGACUGUCGGUGAGGACUUGCUUCCCAAGAUCACAGUCAUAUGGACAGGUAGCAGGGUAAUUUCCAAGAAUCUACCUGUGGACCGCCUGGCCGAGGUGGAGUCCGUCCUUCAGCGCCCGCCGCUCAUCUGGGACAACCUGCACGCCAAUGACUACGACUCCCGUCGACUCUUCCUGGGUCCUUUCAAGGGCCGCGAGCCUUGGCUGAGAGGCCACUUGAGGGGCCUCCUCCUCAACCCUAACUGCGAGUUUGAGGCCAACUACAUUCCGUUGCACACGCUGGCAAGCUGGUACAGAGCUGGAAGCCAGGAGAGAAAAGAUGUGGAGACAGAUUAUUGUCCUGACAGAGCUUUGUCUGCUGCUUUACACGACUGGAUGGAUGAACUCAACCAACCUCUACAAGCAGGUCGACAGAGCUCACGAGGAGAUCAGCGGUGUUCUCGAGCCAAAACCCCAGACAGAUCUGACAGCACUGCCACUUUUCGAGGGACAUCCGUGGUGGCUAAACUCCCAGUCUUCCCCCUCAACUCGAGUUCUCCCCCCCCCUCGCCCACCAAGGGCAAAGGAGAGAGGGCGGUCGAAGCGGCCGAAAGCCCACGUCAGCCCGAACGAGCGUCCAGACCUGGAAUUCCUACAGGGAGAACCCACACAUACAAGUCCCAGGGUCGAGGUCUCUGCGGUGGGAAAGGCCUGCUGAGUGAGUCCCAGGUAAGGCUGUUGGUGGGCCUCCAUUAUUUGCCUCAUGAGCACGGCCCCUCGGCCCAGAAACUUCUUCAGGAUCUGACGUGGCUCAAAAGCAACUGCCAUCUGGUCAGCGCCAACAGCAAGAAAACCUCACCUCACAAGGUAGACGAAUGGAGGAGCCGGGCCUCCGAAUUCCUGUCUUUGUGUGAAGACAUCGCUCAGCUCCACUGUAGCGUCGUAGGCGCAGCCAACCGGGCUGUGCUCUAUGACCUGUACCCUUAUGUGUGGGACCUGAGGAACAUGGCACUUGUGGCCAAGGCUUUUGUGUGCUGGCUGGAUGGUUACGUCCUGAAUGACAGCGCCACCUUGGCCUCAUGGAAGAAUUGCUUCCAGUUGUGCGGGAAGACCACAGGAACCGACGUAGCGGGAGACGAGUCGGAACCGUGGGCGUUUAAAGGAGGCGUAUCUGGGGAAGUGCAGAUGCUUCUCCCCGUGGGCGGCAGCAGUGAACUCUUCACUCACCCUCCUCCUCUCUUCCCCACCUCUCGUCUCUACAACAUUAGGCCGUACCACAGUAAGGACAAGGUGGAGUUGUACCGAAUGGUGCGUCAGCUUCACUUGAGGUCUCACUGUGGUCAGGAGUCCGGUUCUUCCCACCCAGAUGUCGUAGGAGACAGGUGUCUGGGACCUUGCCUGGCCUUGUGUCCCGAAUACAGCUUCAUCUUGGAGGAUGAGUUAGGCUUAUGCGGUUGUAUUCUUGGAAUCAUGGAUGUGCGCUCUUUUGCCAAGAGAUGUCAGUCGAGCUGGUUGCCUGCCAUGAGGGACAAGUACCUACCCAAUGGAGGGCACUCAAACACACAGGAAUUAAUCAAGCUAAUGGAGGAGGACCAGGGAGAGUAUCCAGAUUCGCUUCUCUAUCAUUUCCCCUCCCAGCUGCGUCUGGACACGUUGCCCGAGUUGGUGGACGUCAGCGUCAGCCGCACCCUGCUCGUCACCCUCCUGGUGGCCCUCAAAGCCAAUGGUUCUCAGGGUGUGUUUUGCGAGGUUCAGCCAACCGACCGCCAGAGGCUGGAGUUCCUGAGCAAACUGGGCUUCCUGGAGAUUCUUCGAGGUGAAGCCAGGAGCAGAGAGGGCGUGGUGAUGGCCAGGCUGCUUUGAGAACACUGGGGGGGAAUCACCUUUAAACACACCUACACAUUCGGGGGGAAAAAUCAAGAUGCGGUGUCCAAGAAGAUAAGCAUUGAAAAGAGCUUUAAUUCACCCAAACAGAGUCCUGCAUCCAAAUUAGAAUGAUCUAGAAUGUGAAGAAUUUUACACACACACUUAGUUUAGAUGGUUAUUUCCAUGCAUGAAAUGUUGUGUGGCUAUUUGAAAAAAAAAAGCUUACACAUUAUGUCAUAUAGAGCUGUCCAAGUUUUUAAGUCUUAAGGUCAACCAAACACUAAAUGUAAGUGCAUGUGCAUUACAACUACAUCAGAAACACUCAUGUGCACAAAUAUAGAAAAAAAGGAAGAAAUACAACAAGCACAAAAGCACUCAUGCUUGAUCCUACAACUGAAAGUACACACAAAGAAUGUCCAUUCAUCCAUGAGACAAAAAGUCUGUGCAAGGUUUUUGCAUUAAUACUUUGCUUUUAGUUCUUUUGUACAAUUCCAGCGCGCCUCAAUCUUCCGACAGACUGAAAUCACUUUUCGAAGUUUCUUAUGAUCACCUGUGAGAACUACAUCAGAAAGCAUGAAAAUAUAAAAAGCACUGUGACGGAGAAACCGUCAUUAUUAAAGCAAUUUAAAAUGGGAGAAAUACCAGGAAACGGCAGCAACGUUAUGGACAUCAGUGCUUUCUCGUUCAACUGUACUGCCGGCUUCCCAGCGGCUACGAGAGCGCAGGUUCUGCUCGGGGGCCUUCACUUGACCCGUGGGGAUUCGGUAGGCGGACGCGCUGCCCCGCAGGAGCAGCAGCAGCGUCACGGUCAGGGUGGCGGCCCAACUGCAUGCCGGCAGACCCGUCUGUUUUCGGGAGACAAUCGCAUCGCACGUCGGCCAAAAAAUGCGUGUAUCGGUGUAGUACUUACUGCCCCCAACAGGUUGCUCAAAGCGAUGUCAAGAUAAGCAGAGAGGAAAGCUAAGGAAGACAGAACUCAUCAGGGUCCCAAGGGAACUUUUACCAGCGUCGCAUACAUGUAUCUUACCACUUGCGAUGGCCAACAAGUGGGUCUUCCAAUUAAACAUGAAAAAAAAUCCUCCCACGGCCAUGCAGCCUAGAGCUCCGUUAAAGCCGGACAGACCAGAAUAGAGGCACUCGUGCCGCACAGCCACGGAUAGACCUGCACGCGCAUGGACAACUUAUUAGUUUUAUUAUUACAGUGCUAAAAAUGAAUGAUUUGAAUCAGUUUGUUUAAUAGACAACUGCCCCUUGAAAACCGGAAAUCGUCCCGUAUUCCGAAACAAAAGUAUGCGUCCCGUCUUGAGCUUUCGAGCGACAUGCUUUGUUCCGUAUGAUCAUGAAACUAGAAAAUAAUGUCUUAUUUAUCUAACGAAGCAAUACUGGUAUGGUACUUUACAAGAAUUUGCAGGCUAAUGCAUUUUCUCCCUCUCCUGCUCUUUGACCAAUGAGCUGACGGAAAAUGACAAUACAAAGUCCCAUCAUCUCAUUGGUCGAGAUACUGUCGCUUGCCAUGAUGAUGAACGGAAGACAACAGAAGAGCCUUGUCCCUGAUAAUAAACGGCUCAUAUCGUGAUAACUUUUGGUAGAAGGUAGAAAUCCCAUGCAGCGGCCCCACUGCCCCAAGCCGAGCUCUCCUAUUUUAAUGCAUACAUUGCACUACCCUCCCCACACAAUCCCAUCACGGUGCUGGGUAAUGGCUGCCAGCCAGGGACCUGGCAGCCACAGCAAUAGGGUGGUAGGUGGGUCCCACAUUUUUUCUCUAUGGCGUGGCUCCCGGGGAGUGGCCUCCCCUCUGCCUGGGCUGCCGAUCUCACAUGGCCCCGCGGCGGCUCCUCGGCGUUCUCCUGCUUCCCCCUUCCUCUUUCUUCUCUGCCUGGGUAUCUGCCCUGCGCUCCGACGCGGGUCGCUGGCUGGAUGCCGGUGUGUCGGCCGGGUGUCGCCCACUUCAGCGGGGGACCCUGCCUUGCCCUGGGUUUGGUGGGCCGCUGGGGGCUCCCAUCGUGUGGUGUGCCG
Molecule: RNA transcript, 4636 nt
Organism: Corythoichthys intestinalis (scribbled pipefish)
Lineage: Eukaryota; Metazoa; Chordata; Actinopteri; Syngnathiformes; Syngnathidae
Gene name: protein O-GlcNAcase
Exons: 18
Source: RefSeq, a predicted model, not a curated record